Molecule: transfer RNA, 73 nt
Filed under: Diaphus chrysorhynchus (golden-nosed lantern fish)
Lineage: Eukaryota; Metazoa; Chordata; Actinopteri; Myctophiformes; Myctophidae
Description: tRNA-Leu (CUN)
Source: RNAcentral
GCUACUACAGGAUAACAGCCCAUCCGUUGGUCUUAGGAACCAAAUUUUUUUUGGUGCAAAUGAAGGAGUACCA